RNAcentral lists this ribosomal RNA (485 nucleotides) under uncultured bacterium. RNAcentral's name for it is "bacterial SSU rRNA". It matches the Rfam family "Bacterial small subunit ribosomal RNA", at positions 30 to 507 of the family's 1533-position model. The record is from RNAcentral.
AUUGAACGCUGGCGGCAUGCCUUACACAUGCAAGUCGAACGGCAGGCACGGGAGCAAUCCUGGUGGCGAGUGGCGAACGGGUGAGUAAUAUAUCGGAACGUGCCCAGUCGUGGGGGAUAACGUAGCGAAAGCUACGCUAAUACCGCAUACGAUCUACGGAUGAAAGCGGGGGAUCGCAAGACCUCGCGCGAUUGGAGCGGCCGAUAUCAGAUUAGGUAGUUGGUGAGGUAAAGGCUCACCAAGCCGACGAUCUGUAGCUGGUCUGAGAGGACGACCAGCCACACUGGGACUGAGACACGGCCCAGACUCCUACGGGAGGCAGCAGUGGGGAAUUUUGGACAAUGGGCGCAAGCCUGAUCCAGCAAUGCCGCGUGCAGGAUGAAGGCCUUCGGGUUGUAAACUGCUUUUGUACGGAACGAAACGGUGAGCUCUAAUACAGUUUGCUAAUGACGGUACCGUAAGAAUAAGCACCGGCUAACUACGUG